GGCAUUGAAGGUGAAUUGGUUACACCACCACACUUCCAAUGUGGAGACUGCGGGUUCGAGCCCCGUCAAUGCCU
The sequence is a transfer RNA, 74 nucleotides long. It matches the Rfam family "tRNA". From Rfam's summary of the family: Transfer RNA (tRNA) molecules are approximately 80 nucleotides in length. Their secondary structure includes four short double-helical elements and three loops (D, anti-codon, and T loops). The record is from Rfam.